AUACGGAGGGUGCAAGCGUUAAUCGGAAUUACUGGGCGUAAAGCGCGCGUAGGCGGAUAUUUAAGUCUCAUGUGAAAGCCCUGGGCUCAACCUGGGAACUGCAUGGGAUACUGGGUAUCUAGAAUACAGUAGAGGGUAGUGGAAUUUCAGGUGUAGCGGUGAAAUGCGUAGAGAUCUGAAGGAACAUCAGUGGCGAAGGCGACUACCUGGACUGAUAUUGACGCUGAGGUGCGAAAGCGUGGGGAGCAAACGGGAUUAGAUACCCUAGUGUCC
RNAcentral lists this ribosomal RNA (273 nucleotides) under uncultured bacterium. RNAcentral's name for it is "partial 16S ribosomal RNA". It matches the Rfam family "Bacterial small subunit ribosomal RNA", at positions 523 to 796 of the family's 1533-position model. The record is from RNAcentral.